RNAcentral lists this ribosomal RNA (322 nucleotides) under uncultured bacterium. Its description in RNAcentral is "bacterial SSU rRNA". It matches the Rfam family "Bacterial small subunit ribosomal RNA", at positions 335 to 651 of the family's 1533-position model. The record is from RNAcentral.
ACUCCUACGGGAGGCAGCAGUGGGGAAUAUUGGACAAUGGGCGCAAGCCUGAUCCAGCCAUCCCGCGUGCAGGAAGACAGCCCUAUGGGUUUUAAACUGCUUUUAGAAGGGAAGAAACGCCUACAUUUAUGGUGGGUUUGACGGUACCUUCAUGAAUAAUGCACCGGCUAACUCCGUGCCAGCAGCCGCGGUAAUACGGAGGGUGCGAGCGUUAUCCGGAAUUACUGGGUUUAAAGGGUGCGUAGGCGGGCGAUUAAGUCAGAGGUGAAAGCUUUCAGCUUAACUGAGAAAUUGCCUUUGAUACUGAUUGUCUUUGAAAAUA